Molecule: long non-coding RNA, 911 nt
Organism: Oncorhynchus keta (chum salmon)
Lineage: Eukaryota; Metazoa; Chordata; Actinopteri; Salmoniformes; Salmonidae
Exons: 4
Source: RefSeq, a predicted model, not a curated record
GGGCCAGAGAGGUACAGUAGUCACUGAUGGUAGGAUAGCCCUCUCAUGUUUUCAUAGUGACAGACGGGGCCAGAGAGGUACAGUAGUCACUGAUGGCAGGAUAGCCCUCUCAUGUUUUCAUAGUGACAGACGGGGCCAGAGAGGUACAGUAGUCACUGAUGACAGGAUAGCCCUCUCAUGUUUUCAUAGUGACAGACGGGGCCAGAGAGGUACAGUAGUCACUGAUGACAGGAUAGCCCUCUCAUGUUUUCAUAGUGACAGACGGGGCCAGAGAGGUACAGUAGUCACUGAUGGCAGGAUAGCCCUCUCAUGUUUUCAUAGUGACAGACGGGGCCAGAGAGGUACAGUAGUCACUGAUGGCAGGAUAGCCCUCUCAUGUUUUCAUAGUGACAGACGGGGCCAGAGAGGUACAGUAGUCACUGAUGGCAGUAUAGCCCUCUCAUGUUUUCAUAGUGACAGACGGGGAUGGACGUCUCAGUCAUCGGGGUUGGUGAAGUCAACAUGAGAUUGUUAUUGUGAUAUGUAUAUCUCUGCGUGCUCUGGGGGAUUCUGAGCAUGUCAACACAAUGCUUGCAUGACUCUGGGUGUGUGUGAUAUAUUUUCAAUACCCUAACAGCAUCCAGUUGCCUUGUUUGUGAGACUGCAACUUGGCUGCCAUGUGCGGAAGUCAUCCGGCCCCAUUUGAUUUCAAUAGGUAUUGCUAUUGCUUGCCUUUCAUCACGUUCUUCCUUUUGCUAUGGGCGACGAUGUUUUUUCGUUGACAUUCGAGCCCGGCUCGUCUGUUUCUGUACGCGUGCGUGGGAUGUGCACGUUUGCUCAUGUCCUUGUGCAAUCAUUUCCAUCGUCCCAUUUGUUGUCCUUUAUAAACUCUCAUGAUCUCAUCAACUCCAGCCUGAUGGAUAUACAGUAGA